This 497-nucleotide ribosomal RNA is filed under the name uncultured bacterium. RNAcentral's name for it is "partial 16S ribosomal RNA". It matches the Rfam family "Bacterial small subunit ribosomal RNA", at positions 28 to 507 of the family's 1533-position model. The record is from RNAcentral.
GAUGAACGCUGGCGGCGUGCCUAAUACAUGCAAGUCGAGCGAACGGACGAGAAGCUUGCUUCUCUGAUGUUAGCGGCGGACGGGUGAGUAACACGUGGAUAACCUACCUAUAAGACUGGGAUAACUUCGGGAAACCGUAGCUAAUACCGGAUAAUAUUUUGAACCGCAUGGUUCAAAAGUGAAAGACGGUCUUGCUGUCACUUAUAGAUGGAUCCGCGCUGCAUUAGCUAGUUGGUAAGGUAACGGCUUACCAAGGCAACGAUGCAUAGCCGACCUGAGAGGGUGAUCGGCCAAACUGGAACUGAGACACGGUCCAGACUCCUACGGGAGGCAGCAGUAGGGAAUCUUCCGCGAUGGGCGAAAGCCUGACGGAGCAACGCCGCGUGAGUGAUGAAGGUCUUCGGAUCGUAAAACUCUGUUAUUAGGGAAGAACAUAUGUGUAAGUAACUGUGCACAUCUUGACGGUACCUAAUCAGAAAGCCACGGCUAACUACGUG